Molecule: ribosomal RNA, 252 nt
Filed under: uncultured bacterium
Lineage: Bacteria
Description: partial 16S ribosomal RNA
Rfam family: Bacterial small subunit ribosomal RNA
Source: RNAcentral
UACGUAGGGUGCGAGCGUUAAUCGGAAUUACUGGGCGUAAAGCGUGCGCAGGCGGUCUGUUAAGACCGAUGUGAAAUCCCCGGGCUUAACCUGGGAACUGCAUUGGUGACUGGCAGGCUUUGAGUGUGGCAGAGGGAGGUAGAAUUCCACGUGUAGCAGUGAAAUGCGUAGAGAUGUGGAGGAAUACCGAUGGCGAAGGCAGCCUCCUGGGCCAACACUGACGCUCAUGCACGAAGCGUGGGAGCAAACAGG